UCUCACUGAAUGUUUUGGGAA
Molecule: non-coding RNA, 21 nt
Filed under: Caenorhabditis elegans
Lineage: Eukaryota; Metazoa; Nematoda; Chromadorea; Rhabditida; Rhabditidae
Source: RNAcentral